RNAcentral lists this ribosomal RNA (460 nucleotides) under uncultured bacterium. RNAcentral's name for it is "partial 16S ribosomal RNA". It matches the Rfam family "Bacterial small subunit ribosomal RNA", at positions 338 to 795 of the family's 1533-position model. The record is from RNAcentral.
CCUACGGGGGGCAGCAGUGAGGAAUAUUGGUCAAUGGACGCGAGUCUGAACCAGCCAAGUAGCGUGAAGGAUGACUGCCCUAUGGGUUGUAAACUUCUUUUAUAAAGGAAUAAAACGAGGCACGUGUGCCUUUUUGCAUGUACUUUAUGAAUAAGGAUCGGCUAACUCCGUGCCAGCAGCCGCGGUAAUACGGAGGAUCCAAGCGUUAUCCGGAUUUAUUGGGUUUAAAGGGAGCGUAGAUGGGUUGUUAAGUCAGUUGUGAAAGUUCGCGGCUCAACCGUAAAAUUGCCAUUGAUACUGGUAGUCUUGAGUACAGUUGAGGUAGGCGGAAUUCAUGGUGUAGCGGUGAAAUGCUUAGAUAUCACGAAGAACCCCGAUUGCGAAGGCAGCUUACUAAACUAUGACUGACGUUGAUGCUCGAAAGUGUGGGUAGCAAACAGGAUUAGAUACCCGUGUAGUC